Molecule: ribosomal RNA, 497 nt
Filed under: uncultured bacterium
Lineage: Bacteria
Description: bacterial SSU rRNA
Rfam family: Bacterial small subunit ribosomal RNA
Source: RNAcentral
GAUGAACGCUAGCUACAGGCUUAACACAUGCAAGUCGAGGGGCAGCAUGGACAUAGCUUGCUAUGUUUGAUGGCGACCGGCGCACGGGUGCGUAACACGUAUCCAAUCUGCCCGUUACUCGGGGAUAGCCUUCUGAAAGGAAGAUUAAUACCCGAUGGCAUGUAUUUCCGGCAUCGGAGAUACAUUAAAGAUUUAUCGGUAACGGAUGAGGAUGCGUACGAUUAGCUUGUUGGCGGGGUAACGGCCCACCAAGGCGACGAUCGUUAGGGGUUCUGAGAGGAAGGUCCCCCACACUGGAACUGAGACACGGUCCAGACUCCUACGGGAGGCAGCAGUGAGGAAUAUUGGUCAAUGGUCGGAAGACUGAACCAGCCAAGUAGCGUGAAGGAUGACUGCCCUACGGGUUGUAAACUUCUUUUGUUUGGGAAUAAAAGACGCUACGUGUAGCGUUCUGCAUGUACCUUACGAAUAAGCAUCGGCUAAUUCCGUGCCAGCAG